Molecule: transfer RNA, 72 nt
Organism: Rozella allomycis CSF55
Lineage: Eukaryota; Fungi; Rozellomycota
Rfam family: tRNA
About the family: Transfer RNA (tRNA) molecules are approximately 80 nucleotides in length. Their secondary structure includes four short double-helical elements and three loops (D, anti-codon, and T loops).
Source: Rfam
GCCUUCAUAGCUCAGUGGUAGAGCGCAUGUCUUGUAAACAUGAGGUCGGGUGUUCAAUCCUCCCUGAAGGCA